ACGGCGAGUGAAGCGGCAACAGCUCAAAUUUGAAAUCUGGCUUCGGUCCGAGUUGUAAUUUGUAGAGGAUGCUUCGGCUUACGUACCGGUCUAAGUUCCUUGGAACAGGACGUCACAGAGGGUGAGAAUCCCGUUUGUGGCCGGCACUUCCGCCAUGUGAAGCUCCUUCGACGAGUCGAGUUGUUUGGGAAUGCAGCUCUAAAUGGGAGGUAAAUUUCUUCUAAAGCUAAAUACCGGCCAGAGACCGAUAGCGCACAAGUAGAGUGAUCGAAAGAUGAAAAGCACUUUGGAAAGAGAGUUAAAAAGUACGUGAAAUUGUUGAAAGGGAAGCGCUUGCGACCAGACUUGCCUGCGGAUGCUCAACCGGUCCUUCGGCCGGUGCACUCUUCCGCGGUCAGGCCAGCAUCAGUUCGGGCGGUCGGAUAAAGGCCUUGGGAAUGUGGCUCUCUUCGGGGAGUGUUAUAGCCCUUGGUGCAAUACGGCCCGCCUGGACUGAGGCCCGCGCUUCGGCUAGGAUGCUGGCGUAAUGGUCGUAAGCGGCCCGUCUUGAAACACGGACCAAGGAGUCUAACAUCUAUGCGAGUGUUUGGGUGUCAAACCCGUGCGCGAAAUGAAAGUGAACGGAGGUGGGAACCUUAGGGUGCACCAUCGACCGAUCCUGAUGUCUUCGGAUGGAUUUGAGUAAGAGCAUAGCUGUUGGGACCCGAAAGAUGGUGAACUAUGCCUGAAUAGGGUGAAGCCAGAGGAAACUCUGGUGGAGGCUCGCAGCGGUUCUGACGUGCAAAUCGAUCGUCAAAUUUGGGUAUAGGGGCGAAAGACUAAUC
This 824-nucleotide ribosomal RNA is filed under the name Neohelicosporium irregulare. Its description in RNAcentral is "partial large subunit ribosomal RNA". It matches the Rfam family "Eukaryotic large subunit ribosomal RNA", at positions 86 to 936 of the family's 3401-position model. Lineage: Eukaryota; Fungi; Ascomycota; Dothideomycetes; Tubeufiales; Tubeufiaceae. The record is from RNAcentral.